This 594-nucleotide unclassified non-coding RNA is filed under the name Lingula anatina. Its description in RNAcentral is "uncharacterized LOC106175984, transcript variant X4". The record is from RNAcentral. Lineage: Eukaryota; Metazoa; Brachiopoda; Lingulata; Lingulida; Lingulidae.
CGAAAGAUAGAUGGCUCCCUCACGACUGCUCGUGCGCUCGUGACAAAGCCGAUGCUGGAAUUUACACAAAGCAUCCAGACUGCGAUAGAUAUGGGGCUUACGCCGCUCGCCCGAAGGUCUAAGAUGAGAUGGAACACAUCAACGGUUACUUCUGAAUCAAAAGAACUGAGUGGAUAUGAAUGAGAUCCAACUCUUCAAAAACUGCUACGUAGAUUUAAGUUUCUAUGAAUUAUAUAUUUACCAAAAAAAUGACCUAUGCUGUGACAAACUUUGUUAGAGAACAGCAAUAAUAAAAUGAAUCUAGCUUAAAAUAUUUGUCCAUUCACUAUUAAGCUCUUACAUAGGAUAAGCAACUCUGCUUGAUCUAUAACUUAAAUUCUUGAAACACACACGUUUUAAAAGUAAAUUGUUUUGGUCUUCAAAUGGAAAUGUGUGCAAAGAAAUGUUUUCCAUAAUUGACUUUUUUGUUGCCUUAUUAAAUAAUGUUUCGGUCUAUUGCCCAAUAACGUAGUGUUUGCCCGACAUAAAAUGUACAAAUCAACAAAAAAGUGACAGGAAGUUUUGAAUUCCUCGCAGUACAAUAAGAAAAGGUCU